This 74-nucleotide transfer RNA is filed under the name Pteropus alecto (black flying fox). It matches the Rfam family "tRNA". Rfam says of the family: Transfer RNA (tRNA) molecules are approximately 80 nucleotides in length. Their secondary structure includes four short double-helical elements and three loops (D, anti-codon, and T loops). Further hydrogen bonds mediate the characteristic L-shaped molecular structure. tRNAs have two regions of fundamental functional importance: the anti-codon, which is responsible for specific mRNA codon recognition, and the 3' end, to which the tRNAs corresponding amino acid is attached (by aminoacyl-tRNA synthetases). tRNAs cope with the degeneracy of the genetic code in two manners: having more than one tRNA (with a specific anti-codon) for a particular amino acid; and 'wobble' base-pairing, i.e. permitting non-standard base-pairing at the 3rd anti-codon position. Lineage: Eukaryota; Metazoa; Chordata; Mammalia; Chiroptera; Pteropodidae. The record is from Rfam by way of RNAcentral.
GGCUCCAUAGUGUAGUGGUUAGCACGUUUGCUCUACACGCAGAAGGGUCAUGGUUCGCACUCCCGGUGGAGCCA